CUGGUAGUCCACGCUGUAAACGAUGUCGAUUUGGAGGUGUUCCCUUGAGGAGUGGCUUCCGGAGCUAACGCGUUAAAUCGACCGCCUGGGGAGUACGGCCGCAAGGUUAAAACUCAAAUGAAUUGACGGGGGCCCGCACAAGCGGUGGAGCAUGUGGUUUAAUUCGAUGCAACGCGAAGAACCUUACCUACUCUUGACAUCCAGAGAAUUUAGCAGAGAUGCUUUAGUGCCUUCGGGAACUCUGAGACAGGUGCUGCAUGGCUGUCGUCAGCUCGUGUUGUGAAAUGUUGGGUUAAGUCCCGCAACGAGCGCAACCCUUAUCCUUUGUUGCCAGCACAUUAUGGUGGGAACUCAAAGGAGACUGCCGGUGAUAAACCGGAGGAAGGUGGGGAUGACGUCAAGUCAUCAUGGCCCUUACGAGUAGGGCUACACACGUGCUACAAUGGCGUAUACAAAGAGAAGCGACCUCGCGAGAGCAAGCGGAACUCAUAAAGUACGUCGUAGUCCGGAUUGGAGUCUGCAACUCGACUCCAUGAAGUCGGAAUCGCUAGUAAUCGUAGAUCAGAAUGCUACGGUGAAUACGUUCCCGGGCCUUGUACACACCGCCCGUCACACCAUGGGAGUGGGUUGCAAAAGAAGUAGGUAGCUUAACCUUCGGGAGGGCGCUUACCACUUUGUGAUUCAUGACUGGGGUGAAGUCGUAACAAGGUAACCA
RNAcentral lists this ribosomal RNA (715 nucleotides) under uncultured Providencia sp. RNAcentral describes it as "bacterial SSU rRNA". It matches the Rfam family "Bacterial small subunit ribosomal RNA", at positions 787 to 1502 of the family's 1533-position model. The record is from RNAcentral. Lineage: Bacteria; Pseudomonadati; Pseudomonadota; Gammaproteobacteria; Enterobacterales; Morganellaceae.